RNA transcript from Temnothorax curvispinosus, 8534 nucleotides. It is a transcript of the gene named retinal guanylyl cyclase 2-like, with no coding region annotated. Lineage: Eukaryota; Metazoa; Arthropoda; Insecta; Hymenoptera; Formicidae. The transcript is spliced from 24 exons. The record is from RefSeq and is a predicted model, not a curated record.
GCAGUCAGUUCGAUACCGAGCGCCGAAGCGUUCGGUUCGCUCCGAUUCCGGCGUGCGCCGUUAUCGUCAUCGGUUCCUAUAUAUCCCGUCACCACGUUCGCGCGACUGAACCGGGCCGACCCCUCCUCCCCCCCGCGUCCGGGGUACCGGGCCGGUGCGCGCUGACCGGGGGAUGACCGGGGGCACGGAGCGCGCCGCGGGCUUACCUGCGACACGCGGAAACGUAUACCGCGAGACAUGUGCGCUCCCGCGGAGUUGAAAGAGCCGCUAUAAAAAGUAUAUCUGGACCGAAGAGGGUCGCGCGCGAAAUAAGGGUAACAUUUUUCGAUCGCGAUCGAAGGGUUUCGCAUUCUUCCUUUCGCGACGGAGAGAAAGUCGCUCCUUUAUGAACGGGACGCGCUUCACCACACGUUCGACCGGUGCGGGACAAUGCUUUGGACCAUGUGCACCUUCGAGGGGCUUCGCUCUGCGAAUGAGCUUUUGAAUUCCCGGGAGGCCGUUGUGGCGAACGGCGGUGAGACCGCGAAGGGGACACCGCCACUGCUCCUCUUCUCUUCAAUGGGUCCUCGUGCGAGGAUAGGAGAGCCUCGGGAGAAGAAAACGCAGCUUAAGUGCCCUCGUUAACGCGAUCGCCUAUCAUGACGCUGCGAACGCGCACGACCUUUUCGCCUAUUAAUCAUCGCGCCCGGUACGUCAUAAUCGGUUCAGGUGCAAUAUCGCCUCGUCAGUGAUUUCGUGUGCGGCCGCGGGUGUGUGCGUGCCAGCUCGGACUCGCCCCAAUUACGUGCAAUUUGGCGACGUCGUCGACCAGGGGCACCGGGGAACCCUUCCUUCGGCGGGGGAUGCGAGGACCGUUCGCGUCGCGCGAUAUCAACGGCGAUUCGAGCGCGUCGGGAUGAGGUGGCGGCCGGACGACCGGCACCGGACGGACUUCCGAAUUGGGACGAAUAAGCUGCGCUCCGGCGGCGAUCGAACGCGGCCACUCGCCCCUUGAAGCGGCAGCGGCGGCGGCGGCGGCUGCGGCACUCAACCCUCCCGAGGAGGACGCACCUCCCCCGAAAAACAACGACCUCGAUCCUCGUUCUCGCGCCGCCAUCGUUUCCGGCGCGAUCGAUAUAUAGACGCUUCCGGGACGGAGAAACGCGCGGAUCUCAUGCAUAUGUAUAGCCGUGCGUUAAAAUGUGCGGACAAUCAGAGUCAAGGUCGAAUCGGCCGUCCCGCUCCGCCAGACCGAUAUCUGAAUCACGGACAGACGUAGUCGGAAAUAGUGCGCUCGAUAUCGUCUCUCCGGUAUGUAUGCUAUUCCUGGCUAAAACGAGCCAGGGUGUUAUUGUCUCUGAUUGGCAGUAACCGAGAGCUAAGAUCGAGCCUUAGCCUCGCUCCAUUCUUCACUCACUCUCUCUCUCUCUAUAUAUAUAUAUCUAUCUCUCUCGUUUGAAACUUUGAAGCGGAUAUACCGCGAUUGCGAUGUGAACAUUGCGCGAGCAACGAUCUUUCUGCGGGAAUGGAGAUAUCGGAAAUGGAAUUCGGUUUACGAGUGGUAUAAGUGGACGCGAUCGUAAAAUAUAAAAUUUAAUGGUCGACCGCCCGGCACGUGAACGUGAACGUUCUGUGAACAGAAGCGUUUCUAACAAGGGAAGAGUAUCGGAGAUAGAGAAUCGAAUUUACGAGUGGAAAAAACGAUGUAAACGACAGUGUCGGGAAUACAAAAUUCGCCGAGCAAGUUCAACGAGCUCAAAAGAUCGCUGUGACCGCGAGAAUAUUUCUAAUUCGUUAGACACUAUAAACUGCUGGAAUGGAAUUUGGUUUUGAACUUUGGACGAUCCACCACACGCUCGACCAAUAAAGUUUCAUAACUGUCAACACCGUCGGAUUAGCUCUAUAAUGGUGGAAAAUUAAAACGUGUGUUGCGGAUUAUCGGACAGCGGACGCGACGCAAACCAUGAUAGAGGAACGCUGAAAUUGUUUAAUCUCGCAAAUUGACAAUAUUGAAUGUCGCGGCAAGACCACGGACAAAAAAAAUUUCGCGGAUGGAAAUAACGGUGCAACUGUUGCUGCCAUAAAUUAGGUCAAUGUUUCGGAAUCUCUUGUUCAAUCUCCGCGUGCGAAGCGCGCUAACGCGGCAUUAAACUCGACUCGGGAGGGGGGCUAAAAACUGGUGUGACGCGGUGUUUUUCCCCGCGGCGACGGCGACGGCGACGGUGCGACAAAAUGUGUAAGCGCGGAAGUGGUUUGCACGCUAUUCAUUUUGAGAGGAAACGUUUUAACCACUCUGCGCGGUGGAGCAUUUUAUUAAGAAAGAGGCGUGACGUGCGGAGAUGUCAACCCGAAGAAUCGAGAGUUCCGUCGCGUGUAUAGCGCUUUACAGGCGAGGGUGAAUCGACGGAACAGAGCGUUUUCCCGCCGUUCCCCGCCGCGGUGGCAGUGACAUCGUGGUCGGCAGGGUCCAAGGGCCCAUGGCCGGGAACUGUUUUCGCCGGUUCUGGUGGUGGCUCCCGAUCGCGAUCCUAUCCGGGUGCUUCUCCCCCGCAGUCGAAGCCGGUAUCUCGUGCACGUCCACCUACCCCUCGGAGACAGCGCGUGACGUGCGGCCCCGGCCCGACGCGGACGUGAUAAUCUUCCUGGGCGAGAGAUGCGACGGGGAGAUCAACGUCACCGAGAUACAGGAUCACUUGGAGCGCGAUCUAGCCGGCGAGCACUCGAUCAGCGUGAUGCCGAGAUCCGAGACGUGUGAGACGGAAACCGGGGGCCUCGGCGCGCUGAUCCACGCUCUCGGCGAGAGCAAGACGAAGGCGGUGAUAGCCGCGCUCGACAGCUCGAUCUGCGAGGUCGCCGCCAAACUCGCGCAUCUUGGGAAUAAACCGCUGCUAACUUGGACUUGUCCGCUGAGAGAUUUAAAGGAAAGGGAUCUAUCUUCGAUCAUUAGGCUCUCUCCGUCAUUACCGUCAAUGGCUAAUGCCGUAGCGGAAAUAUUCCUGCACUUGCAGUGGAAGUCCGCGGAUGUUAUCAGUAUAGAUCGCGAACCGUGGUCCAGCCUGGACCGUGCUGUGAUCAAUGCGUUCCGAAGUAUCGGCGUCGCCCUGCGGUACCACCUGAUUCUACCCCAUCGCGCCACCCUCGAGCAGAUCCGCAGGAUUCUGAGGUCCGUGCACAGCGUUUCCCGUCGUGUUAUGGUGCUUUGUCUGCCGCUACUCGACGAGAUGACAAACCGCGUUCUGAUCGAGCUGAACGCCGCGUGGCAAACGCACAUCCAGAAUUCCGUCAUCCUGAUGAUCCACACGGAGGAUAUCGACCUCUUCCUACCGAGAGACGACUCGCCGCCCACGUCACCCCCCACCGAUCCGUCGACCUUGGCCCAUUCCGCGAUUACACAGUCUUCCAAUUUUUCUACCUCGAAUGUAACUCGCGCCGGCCCGUACACGACCCCGGAGAGAGACGAGAGAAUGCGGAGGGUGCAGCAGACCUCGCGAAGAUUCGCCCCGCCGAGGAAUCUCAGCAGCACCACGAUGGAGAAUCUGCUUGUGGUCGCGCCACUCGAUCAGAGGUACGACGUGAGUAAGGUCCUCAACGGCACGCAGGAUUACGCGACGCUGGCGUUGCUCGAUCGACUGAAUGAAUCGCUGACUGUGCUAACGCGCGACAACAGCAGCCUCGACAGCCACAAUAACAAGAUAUACACGUAUGCCCUAAUGAACUGGCGUGACGCCGGCUGGGAGCCGAUCCUCACGGUGGUCGAGCGGCAUCAGCAGCAGCUGAUGGUCCAGCAGCUGACGCCGAGUGCGAUGGCGUUUCUCAACAUCGAGGCGCCCGAUCUGCCGUCCUGCGACGUCGACGGCGAUUGCCCGAAUGGCUUGGCCGACAUGUCUUUCCGUUCCACACAUAUCGUAGCUAUUAUUCUUGGGUCGCUGCUGUUCACCUUUGUCGCCAUUGCCGUCGCAAUUAUAAUCCGGAAGCGGCUGCUUAAGAAAAGGAUGUCCAAGGGCCCGUACAAAAUCAUUUUAACGACGUCGGACUUCGUUUUUCCUCAAGUGCCUCCAGUAGAUUCAAGAACGGUAGACGAGGGCAUCGAGGCGAUGCUGUGCUGCUGGCUGCAGCAGCUGCAGGAGUUCGGCGGGCCGGAAGUCGAGAAGCCGGAUCUGCUCCAGCUCGGGAGCGUGAACUCGCUGAGGCCGUACCUGCAGGCCAGCGGCGGGAACAUACCGCGGAACACCUUCUUCAAGGAUCCACGCGCUAGAUAUAACGGUGACUUGGUUCAAUUGAAGGAGCUGCCCUUUCAAGGUACGUUCGAACUGAAGAACAAGGCCAUGGACGUGCUGGUCACGAUCCACGGGCUGCGACACGAGAACCUCAACCCACUGAUUGGAUGCCUUAAUGAACCUACGAGACCCUGUCUGGUGUCGGAGUACUGCUCGAGGGGCUCCCUGGAGGACGUACUCGUCCAGGACGAGAUUAAACUCGACUGGUCCUUCAGAUUAUCCUUGCUCACCGAUCUUGUACGGGGUAUGAAGUACCUUCACAGCACUCCGAUACGCGUCCACGGCUACCUCACGUCGCGGAAUUGCGUGAUCGAUGCGCGGUGGGUCUUGAAAGUUACCGAUUACGGCCUGCCUGCAUUUUAUGAAGUCCAGAACAUAGUGCCGCCAGUGAAAACAGCUCGAGACCUGUUGUGGACCGCGCCGGAACUGCUUAGGCAUCUAAAUUUGCGGAAAAAAGGAACCCAGCCGGGGGAUGUUUACAGUUUCGGAAUUAUCAUGCAGGAAGUUGUUGUUCGCGGAGAACCAUUUUGUAUGCUCGCCCUAUCUCCGGAAGAUAUAAUCGAGAAAGUAAUGAAGCCGCCGCCCCUGAUCAGACCAUCGGUCAGCAAGGGGGCCGCGCCACCGGAAGCCAUAAACAUCAUGCGCCAGUGCUGGGCGGAAACUGCUGAAAUGAGGCCCAACUUUGACGACGUUCACGAUCUCUUCAAGAAGUUAAAUCACGGGAGAAAGGUAAACUUCGUAGACACGAUGUUUCAAAUGCUGGAGAAGUAUUCGAACAAUCUAGAGGAACUCAUUCGCGAGCGUACGGAACAGCUUGACAUGGAGAAGAAAAAGACCGAGCAAUUAUUAAAUAGAAUGUUACCUAGUUCGGUCGCCGAAAAACUGAAGCUCGGCAUGCCCGUCGAUCCCGAAGAGUUUCGCGAGGUCACGAUUUAUUUCUCGGACAUCGUUGGCUUCACGACGAUAUCCGCGCGUUCGACGCCCUUUCAGGUGGUUGAUCUUCUCAACGAUCUGUACACUUGCUUCGACGACACGAUUAACGCAUACACGGUUUACAAGGUGGAAACAAUCGGAGAUGCCUACAUGGUUGUAGGCGGUUGCCCUGUUAGGAUACCCGAUCAUGCGACUCAAAUAGCAACCAUGGCACUCGAUCUGUUACAUCAGAGUGGAAAGUUUAAGCUAAAACAUCUUCCGGACACGCAGCUCAGGUUACGCAUUGGUCUCCACACAGGCCCGUGUUGUGCCGGCGUGGUGGGUUUAACAAUGCCGCGUUAUUGCUUGUUCGGCGACACGGUGAACACCGCCUCGAGGAUGGAGUCGACCGGGGCGCCGUGGCGUAUCCAUCUAAGCCAAGCGACGAGGGAUCGAUUGACACAGGUCGGCGGAUACCACAUCGAAUACCGCGGGCCCACCGACGUCAAGGGCAAAGGGAAGAUGCCGACCUACUGGCUGCUCGGCAAGCAGGGCUUCGACAAGGAGCUCCCCAAACCGCCGCCCCUUAGGGAGAACCAUGGGCUCGACGAGAGUCUCUUGCUGGUCGGUCACCAGAACGGAGCGUCGAGCGACUCGGCGUGCUCGCAGCUACCGGUGAUUCCAUCGCAGGACGAGACGCACGAGGAGGAGCCGGCGAGUCCCGUUGAGGUCGUACCCGACGGUCAAAACCGCCAGGAUUCCGUCAGCAGCGGAAUGACUAUCAGCGACAGUCGAGCCGCGUCCUUCGAGGAAGGCGCCGCCACCAGGAAAGUCGCCGUGUCCGUGCACAACGAGCGCACGUUGCUGCCGAGCUACUCCUUGAAGUCCACCAACGACUUCGUCGAGGUGUUGCAGGGCAAGCAGGACACGGUGACGAGGACGAGCGAGACGGUACACGGCGGCGUGACCAAGAGCACGUCCAGCGACAACCAGGCCUCCCUCAGCGUGUCGACCUCGAUGACCGGGGGCGAUACGACCGCGGCGAUCCUCGGCGCGUCCACCAGCUCGCUCUCGUCGAUCGCCAGCUCGGCGGCGUAUCGGCAGCCGCUGGCGAGGCAUCGCCGCUUCGCUGGAUGCAUCGACGAGAAUGAUCUCAGCACACCGUACAAUUAUUACAGAUGUCUGUCGCCCAACGAGCAUCACGGGAAGGGUCCCGGAUGCCGAAUGCUCAAAAGGCAGUUCAGCCUGGACCGUCCGGACGAGCCGGUGUCUAUAAUUCCCGAGCAGCCCCAGCCAAGGUCGACUCCUCGUCUCUACAAGCAAAAUAGCGCGGGCGCGGCCAACGACUUGGAGAGAAUCGAGGAAGUGCCACCAGCCACUCCUAAGCCCCUCCUACAGAAUUACCGUCAUGCCGCUUCCGUAUCCCUCUCCGUCGAAUCCCUAUCGUUACGUUAAAAUCCCCGUCGAGAAAAGUUUUCACGAAUGAAAGAUCGAGCGACGCGAGCGCGUUUAGAGCAGCGAACGAUUCACGCCAAGAAUCGCUAUUAUACGAUGUGAUUGAUAAAACGCCGUGUAAAAGAUACGAAAGAUACGAAUUGCAGUUUUACGUCUAUAGCCGUAAUUCUACUUCUAGGAAAAAAAUACAAGAGAGCUCGGUUAAACUCUGAGAUUGGAAUCAACGUUAAUUGAGAUUAACGGUCAACUGAGAUUAAUCAACAUUGACGGCACCGAUCUUCGACGAUCACGACCGAGAAAGAAACGUCGACUUGAAAACUCGACCGCAAUAAUUUGAGGGUCGGUAUCCUUGAAGACGCGUUCCGCGCGUAAUUAAGUGACGAGUAAAUGUGUACGAUUGCUGAUGUGACUCGCUGCUCCGUCUGUAUUCUUAUCAUUGUGAGUGUACAUUGUAUUGGUGUCCGAUAAUACCCGCAGGCAGGGGAUCGUAACGAACGUAAUUCGUGAUUAGAGAUUUAAUGGUUUAUAGGCGUGUGUUGUAAAUUUACAAAUAAUCGUUGGUGCAAAAAGAAAAACUUUCUAGGAUUUACGGGCGAUCCGCUUUUUCCUCGGAACGUGUCUGUACCUGUCAAUCUUACGUAUUUCGACGUUUCAUCGAUAACGAUUCAACGACGCUGUCAUCAUCUGAUCUUCGAUGCUGAAUUAUUAGCAUCUCAGAUAUUUACGAUCGUUUUUUACCUUGCAAGAAUGAACAAUUUUCCUCUCUCCCACGAUUAUUUAUUAUCUCUAAUCGUCAACGGUUGUAUACUCUCGCUAGAUGUACCUAUCUGUAAAGCGAAGAUCUAAAGUCGAUUUUACUGAAUGAAAUUUAAUGUUAUAAAAUCACUUCCGCGCAUCUCGUGGAAGAUAAGAAAGUUCCAAUUCCAUAAACUUAACGUGGAUCUUAGGCUAUUGACAGAGGCAAGACGGAUAGCAAGAUAAAUACAAAAGGAAAAAUAUUUAACUAACUAAUAAUUUUUUGUUAAAUAUAUCUCGAUAAAAAAAUUAUUCUUUAAGAAAGAAGUUGAAUAUAUUGCUCUUACGCAUGUACAGUCUUUAUGUUAAUAAUUAUAUUUCGGUCGAAACUCACGAUGCCAUCGAUGGACUGUGAUGUCAAUCGAGAAAGAAAGUUACAUAGGAAGUAAUUAACCAUCUCGCGAUUAUGGCAGCAGAGAAGUACUUCGUCGGUCAGCAGAUUCUCUCUGAAGCCAACAUAAUUGCAUGGAUUAUGACAGGAGGGAGUUAUAUCCAACUGGCUUUCCUAAUUCACCGUUUUAGAAAAUCUCUUGCGGUCGACGAGCGAAAAUCAAUCUUGUGGCGAGUCACGAGUGACGAGUGACAUAAGAAACGAUAGACCGGCGAUGAGAAGAGCUUUCUUCUCUACACGUUCCCUCGUGCCAAGUGAAAUUGCUAUGCGGCACAGGUUCUUACUUUAUGAUCGUAAACGCUGGUAAUGUCACGCCAAGCACACGGAUGACGGAGUGCGCGACGUAUAAACAUUCGGAGAUCGCUAAGAUGAUCAUAAUGGACGAGAGACUUCGACUAUGGCGACGUGCUAUGGAUAAGGGAUGGAUUUUAUUGUCGAGAUAAAAGUGCCGUCACUUGAUCGAGCUUCCAGCUGUUUAUUGAUUUUUAAAUGCACCCAUUUAAAUGCGGCUUCUAAAUUGCUGUUUGACUAUGUAACGUCGCGUGCAAAAAAAAAUCGCCCAUAGAUUUCUUAUAAAAGCGAAAUACUUAUUAUUUUUUAUUCUUGACUUAUUUUUGACGUGCAAUCGUGUCGAUUUGCACAAAACAGAUACUUUUCUAUAAUUAAUAAAUAUUAGAAAAGAUUGAUUCUUAUUUUAACAGAAGCGUAAUAAUUCUAUUAAUACA